This is a long non-coding RNA of Coturnix japonica (Japanese quail), 1365 nucleotides long. The record is from Ensembl. Lineage: Eukaryota; Metazoa; Chordata; Aves; Galliformes; Phasianidae.
UGGGUCAUUAUUACUGUUCCAUACUGACCUGUAUUGAUCCAUUAACCUGUGUCCGUAUUGUGUCCAUAUGGUACCAUACUGCGUCGUCCAUACUGACCUGUAUUGAUCCAUACUGGUCCGUAUUGGUCCAUACUGGUCCAUACUGGUCUGUACUGACCUGUACUGGUCCAUACUGGUCCAUAUUGGUCCAUAAUGGUCCAUACUGUUCCAUACUGACCUGUACUCAUCCAUAGUGGUCCAUAUGGGUCUGUAGUGGUCCGUGCUGGUCAAUAAUGGCCCAUAUUGACUGGUACCCAACCAUACUGGUCCGUACUGGUCCAUACAGACCAAUACUGACCCAUACUGACCUAUACUUGUCCAUACUGGUCCAUACUGGUCCAUACUGGCCUGUACUGGUCCAUACCGGCCUGUACUGGUCCAUAUUGGCCCAUACUGGUCCAUACUGCUCCAUACUGGUCCAUAUUGGCCCAUACUGGUCCAUACUGGUCCAUACUGGCCCAUUCUGGUCCAUAUUGGCCCAUACUGGUCCAUACUGCUCCAUACUGCUCCAUACUGGUCCAUAUUGGCCCAUACUGGUCCAUACUGGCCUGUACUGGUCCAUAUUGGCCCAUACUGGUCCAUACUGGACCAUACUGCUCCAUACUGCUCCAUAUUUGUACAUAUAGGUCCAUGCUUGUACAUAGAGGCCCAUACUUGUACAUAUAGGCCCAUAUUUGUAUAUAUAGGCCCAUACUGGUCCAUACUGUUCCAUACUGUUCCAUACUGGCCCAUACUGGUCCAUACUGGUCCGUACUGGUCCGUACUGGUCCGUACUGGUUUGCAGACCUCCCCUCCGAGGUGACGAUCUCGGGUCCCCACACGGUGGCAGAGAACAGGACGGUGACGCUGUCGUGUUCCAGCGCCCCCAGUAACCCCCCAGUGCAGCUGCGAUGGUGGAUGGGGGGGCGGCAGCUGCAGCACGGGGACACCACUGUCACUGCGGUACGGGACCCAUAGAGACCCAUAGAGACCCAUAGAGACACAUAGGGACCCAUAGAGACACAUAGAGACACAUAGGGACCCAUAGAGACCCAUAGAGACCCAUAGGGACCCAUAGCGACCCAUAGAGACACAUAGGGACACAUAGAGACCCAUAGAGACCCAUAGAGACACAUAGCGACCCAUUGAGACACAUAGCGACCCAUAGAGACACAUAGAGACCCAUAGGGACACAUAGAGACCCAUAGGGACACAUAGAGACCCAUAGGGACCCAUAGAGACACAUAGGGACACAUAGAGACCCAUAGCGACCCAUAGAGACACAUAGGGACACAUAGAACAACAAUAGAGACCCCAUUAAGGCCUAGCCGACCCAUGAGAAGACCC